This 445-nucleotide ribosomal RNA is filed under the name uncultured bacterium. Its description in RNAcentral is "bacterial SSU rRNA". It matches the Rfam family "Bacterial small subunit ribosomal RNA", at positions 354 to 796 of the family's 1533-position model. The record is from RNAcentral.
GUAGGGAAUAUUGGGCAAUGGAUGCAAGUCUGACCCAGCCAUCCCGCGUGCCGGAAGAAGGCCCUCAGGGUUGUAAACGGCUUUUGACGGUGAAGAAUCGACAGGAUGCGUCCUGUUUUGACGGUAGCCGUUGAAUAAGCACCGGCUAACUCCGUGCCAGCAGCCGCGGUAAUACGGAGGGUGCGAGCGUUGUCCGGAUUUAUUGGGUUUAAAGGGUGCGUAGGCUGGAAGGUCAGUCAGCGGUGAAAAGCUGUCGCUUAACGAUAGUCUUGCCGCAGAUACUUCCUUUCUUGGAUGAGGAGGAGGCCACUGGAACGGAUGGUGUAGCGGUGAAAUGCAUAGAUAUCAUCCAGAACACCGAUUGCGAAGGCAGGUGGCUGUACCUUAAUCGACGCUGAUGCACGAAAGCAUGGGGAGCAAACAGGAUUAGAAACCCUUGUAGUCC